CUAUCCCCCGCUCGAGCGAUGCCCUACCGCUCUCUCUCAUCCCUGCUCCUCCUCUCGCCCUCCCUCUUUCGCUCUCGUUCUCCCCGUCUAAACCUCCCUCAACGCAUCUCACCUGUCCGUUUUUCAAUCAACUCGUCAAUCCCUCCCUCUUUCGCCUCCGUUCGUGCGACCUGGAUUGCAUCAGGCUGAGGCAUCAACAUUGAGGAAAGAAGAGCUGAAUGGUCCGAACCCUAACCCCCCUUCCAUUGCAGGAGAACCCGAACCUCAUAGGUCAGCUGCCGCUGCAUUUUUUGAAACUAUAUCGCUACGGUUCUUUCUGCUUCAUUUGAUUUUGGUGACCUUGCUUCAAUAAUCCUUGCUGCGUCGUUCCAUUUAUUAUCUGAAAUUUAGCAGUUCUUUCUGCUGCAUUUAAUUUUUAAGGUAAGACGAUCGAAAGUACAUCAAACAUUUGGCUAAAUCUGAUGCUUAUGUUGUUUGGCAAAACUGCUUCGACCAGCCUUUGUAAUUCCGAACCAUUUCAUACCGAGUAGCAAUGGAAUCAAAAAAGGCCUGUUUCAAUCCAAAGUUGUAGACUGUUCUACUGCUUCAUACUAAAUGAGGCAUUGACAAAGGACAGAGACGCAUGCUCAUUUCAAAGGGCUUCAUAUAUGCAUGUCACCUCCGAACUUGUGUGACCUGUAAGAAGCUCAAAUUUUAACUAGGAGGAGCGUUUAUAGCGAUUUUCUGGUGAAGGCGCCGCAUGUUAUAAGAAAUACCUCAUUUUCCAUGAGGGGCCGUUUGAUGGCUUGAAAAAAUACUAUUCACCCGGAAAAAAAAUCAAAAUUUCAAAAUUUUUCCAUUUGACAAACGCAGAAAAAAAUUUUCGACCGUUGAGGUCGAUUCCGGAAAUUUUUGUCCGGAAAAAAAUUUCCAUCUGAGAGACGGAAAUAUUUUUCCGGAAAUUUUUAAGCGACCGUUAGGCCGCGGUCGCCUCUCGCAGCCGCAGCCCUCUUCGUCUUCGUCCUUACGCAACGCAGACUCUGCAUCCUCACGCGCCGUGAAGCAGGAGGUUCAUUUCUCCCGCGGCUUCUCUUCCGCUCUCGGUGCGUCGGGCAUCUAUCGCCCGCCGCCGGUGAAAGGGUUGCAGAAAUCGCGUCCCCUCAUCAGCGUGCUCACCGUCAGCACUUCAGCAGCAUUCAUCUUCUGCCAAGUUCGAGCCGGUCGACUGAAGCUAGACGACCCUCUUGCUUCCUGCGCGUUCCUGUUUCAGGUCAUAUUUCUCUCCUGCUUUCUCUCUGUUCUCUCUCGCACUCUGUUUUUCUCUUGUUUUUCCCGGCCCCCUUUUGUCCAUUCCGCCAAUUCUUCAGCAGCAUUCGUCUUCUGCCGGCGUCGAGCAAGUGGCACACCUGAAAUAAAAAAAAGAAAGCUUAAUACAGGAGAGGAGUUGCUAAAUGUGCAGCUGCUGCUGAUGAUCCAUGACUUAUGGUUUUUAAGCUUUUCUUUUUCCAUAUAUUUUUGGGUUCGGCGUUUGAUCUGCAGGCAUUACAUCUGCAGGCAUUUCAGUUCUUGUUUUUUCUUUUUUUUUUCUCUUCUGCAUUUUGAUCGCAUGGUGGUUAUGGCGUCAGUUUUCCAGCUUCAUUUGAUAUUCUCUUAGAGUUAUGUUGCGGUAUUUACUACAUGAAGGGGUGUAACACUCUAUUUCCCCAUACGCCUUUUAAGAUUUUGCUGAAUGAGAAGAAUUACAGAGAGGGUGCACAUAGAUGUACAUUUUUUGUUCAAUAAGGCCUUUUGCUUCUAGAGAAUGGAUGUUCUGCCGCUGAUUCUGAUGUUCUUUUGUUUGAAUUCAUCUGGUUCAUUGUUUCUGUUCUUAAUUACCUUUAGUUUCUUGAAAUUGAGAGUACAGACUUGCGGUUCAGUAUAUUUUUUCAACAACUUAUCAUCUUAUCGUCUGGUUUGUGUGAAUGUGAUCCUCCUUUUGUGUUGUUGGUUUUUUGAACUUUUUUGUGUGAAUGUGAUCUUCCUUUUGUGUGAAUGUGAUCCUCCUUAAGAUGAUCCGCCUCUCUCUCUCUCUCUCUCUCUCUCUCUCUCUCUCUCUCUGUGAUGGUUGUUUGUUUCUUAUUUGGCUUGGUUUUGUUUCUUUUGGAUUUCAAUUAUUGCAUAUGAGGGCGCAAUUGUUGUUCAUAAUUGAAAAUGGGUAAUCUUCAUCCUCAAGAUAAUGGUCAUUAAAUUUGUCAGAUUCUUUCUCUGAGCACAUGCUCUGGGCUUCUCCCUCGUUGAACCUUCUCUGUUUUUCAGUUUGUUUGUCUAAAAUAGGAAAUAGACGAAAGGUUUUCUCUGCUGAGAGGAAUUUGCAACAGAUUCAACGUGGCCUCUGCAAAUUGUGCGUAGCAGGGUAUAUCAUGGAGAGAACUGUUUCCAUCAAUGGAACAAAUUGAUGAGUCCACGGAAAACGGUGGAUGGUAGCUAUAUUAUCUUGACGAGAUAAAACUGCUAUGGGAUUAUCUUUUAAAAACCAGAAAGGCCCCAUACUUUUCUGGAAAAGGGUGAAUCUGUGUUCUGAUUUUGAUAGACUUCUGAAACCUGAUAUAAGAUGCUUUGGUAACCUUGUAUCAAGUUGAAAUGCAUAAAUAAAGCAUCCAAAAGCUACUGCAAUUUAAAAUGUUGGGAGUUAUCGGAUGUUCAUGUGAAUGGAGAUUUGCACGUAUCAAAUUGUUUAUGUGGUCUUCGUUCCAGACAAACUUAGCUUACUAUUGUUAAUUGCGACCUAUGUGCAUAGCAUGAAAUUACAUUUUUCAAUUCCUACAAUCCUCCUUGAUACUAAUUUGAAUAUUUGUUAUGCACAAACUGAAGACUCGUGUCAUAAAGCAGAAUGUCAAUCCAGAAUGGAAUGAAAAUUUGACGCUUUCAGUUCUGAUCCCAUUUUGCCGGUCAAAAUUGUAUGUUCUCUUCUUUCCCAGCUACUUAUUUCUUGUUUUGCACCGAAAAUAUGCUCGUUAAUUGCCUGAUAAUUUUUUUGGUAAAAUGCUAUGCUUCUGAAAAUAUAAUUCUUUUUCAUCAAACAUAGAAAUAUAUUUCUGGAAAUAUAUUUCUCAGUCAUCACACACACACCAAAAUUGGAAUCGAAAAGAUUUUUCCCAUUCAUUUUUUCCAGAAAAUAUAUUUCCAAAAAUAUAUUUCCAAAAAUAUAUUUCCAAUUUCACAUUUCCACACCAUCAAACGGCCCCGAAAUAUUUUGCGGACCGUUAGGGCACGGUCGCGCGUAUUGCCUCUUCCCUCAGUCGCCUCUCCCAGCCGCAGCCCUCUUCGUCCGCAGCGCAGCCUCUUCGUCCUCACGUGCCGUGAAGCAGCAGCCCGCAGCCUUCUUCCUGCUGCCGCGACUGUGUGCGCCAUCUUUGUUCAUUUCGUUCUACUAGGUGUCCCUUCCCCUUGACGCCGUCCACCUCUCGUCCAGCAAAAACCACGCGUGCCACGGACGGGAGAGCUGCCUUAUCGCAGACCCCAUCCUGCCGCCCAUACACCUUUGCACUUCCCCACACCGUGACGAUUUGGGGAGGAAUCUCAGCAAUCGGACCGUGCCAGCAUUUUUCCCACCCUUUGGCGACACCCUGGACCAACCUUGAGGAGGAUCCGACGGCAAUCAACAAGCCAGAUCGCCCCUGCCGGAAUCGGAAGCACUUCUUCUUCCACUACUUCGUUUCUCAUCUAUAUAUGGUUCUUGCGGGAAAAUGAAUUAAGUUGAGCAGAUCCCUUGCUCUCAUCAGUGCGCUCACGGUCAGCACUUCAGCAGCAUUCAUCUUCUGCCAAGUUCCAGCCAGUGGACUGAACCUAUACGACCCUCUUGCUUCCUGCGCGUUCUUGUUUCAGGUGAAGGUGCCACACAUGUCUGGGUACUGCAUGCAUCACCUCAGAUAAAAAGUCCCUUG
Nymphaea colorata (pocket water lily) is the source of this 3902-nucleotide long non-coding RNA. RefSeq lists it as uncharacterized. The transcript is spliced from 4 exons. Lineage: Eukaryota; Viridiplantae; Streptophyta; Magnoliopsida; Nymphaeales; Nymphaeaceae. The record is from RefSeq and is a predicted model, not a curated record.